This is a transfer RNA of Ovis aries (sheep), 72 nucleotides long. It matches the Rfam family "tRNA". From Rfam's summary of the family: Transfer RNA (tRNA) molecules are approximately 80 nucleotides in length. Their secondary structure includes four short double-helical elements and three loops (D, anti-codon, and T loops). Further hydrogen bonds mediate the characteristic L-shaped molecular structure. tRNAs have two regions of fundamental functional importance: the anti-codon, which is responsible for specific mRNA codon recognition, and the 3' end, to which the tRNAs corresponding amino acid is attached (by aminoacyl-tRNA synthetases). tRNAs cope with the degeneracy of the genetic code in two manners: having more than one tRNA (with a specific anti-codon) for a particular amino acid; and 'wobble' base-pairing, i.e. permitting non-standard base-pairing at the 3rd anti-codon position. The record is from Rfam. Lineage: Eukaryota; Metazoa; Chordata; Mammalia; Artiodactyla; Bovidae.
UCCCUGGUGGCUCAGACGGUAAAGCGUCUGCCCGCAAUGCAGGAGACCCAGGUUCGAUUCCUGGGUCGGGAA